Molecule: ribosomal RNA, 729 nt
Filed under: uncultured eukaryote
Lineage: Eukaryota
Description: SSU rRNA
Rfam family: Eukaryotic small subunit ribosomal RNA
Source: RNAcentral
CGGGUGCACUGAUCCGGCCGGGCCUUUCCCUCUGUGGAACCCCAUGGCCUUCACUGGCUGUGCGGGGGAAACAGGACUUUUACUGUGAAAAAAUUAGAGUGCUCCAGGCAGGCCUAUGCUCGAAUACAUUAGCAUGGAAUAAUAGAAUAGGACGCGUGGUUCUAUUUUGUUGGUUUCUAGGACCGCCGUAAUGAUUAAUAGGGACAGUCGGGGGCAUCAGUAUUCAAUUGUCAGAGGUGAAAUUCUUGGAUCUAUUGAAGACUAACUACUGCGAAAGCAUUUGCCAAGGAUGUUUUCAUUGAUAAGGAACGAAAGUUGGGGGAUCGAAGACGAUCAGAUACCGUCGUAGUCUUAACUAUAAACUAUGCCGACUAGGGAUCGGACGAUGUUAUUUCUUGACGCGUUCGGCACCUUUCGAGAAAUCAAAGUGCUUGGGCUCCAGGGGGAGUAUGGUCGCAAGGCUGAAACUUAAAGAAAUUGACGGAAGGGCACCACCAGGGGUGGAACCUGCGGCUUAAUUUGACUCAACACGGGGAAACUCACCAGGUCCAGACACAGUGAGGAUUGACAGAUUGAGAGCUCUUUCUUGAUUCUGUGGGUGGUGGUGCAUGGCCGUUCUUAGUUGGUGGAGUGAUUUGUCUGCUUAAUUGCGAUAACGAACGAGACCUUAACCUGCUAAAUAGCCCGUACUGCUCUGGCAGUUCGCCGGCUUCUUAGAGGGACUAUCGG